UAGAGUUUUAAUACUCCCAAACCCACUGUGAACCUUUCAUGUUGCUUCGGCGGGCGGCCCCUCGGGAGGGGCCAGGCCGCCCCUCGCAGGGGUGCCCGCCAGAAGACCAACAAACUCUGUUUUUUUAUGGCAUUCUGAGAAACCAAAAAACUAUCA
This 156-nucleotide unclassified non-coding RNA is filed under the name uncultured fungus. RNAcentral's name for it is "sequence contains ITS1, 5.8S rRNA gene". Lineage: Eukaryota; Fungi. The record is from RNAcentral.